This 6494-nucleotide long non-coding RNA is filed under the name Sus scrofa (pig). RNAcentral describes it as "lncRNA (ENSSSCG00060060350.1)". The record is from RNAcentral. Lineage: Eukaryota; Metazoa; Chordata; Mammalia; Artiodactyla; Suidae.
CUUUGUCAAGCCAGUUUGAUUUUAAUAAUCCAUGUUUUUCAGCCAAAGACAUCUUAAUUGAUCCAAGGAUGAUACAAUUUGUACUCUAAGUAUUUUUGUUGUCCAUUUCACAAGCAUUCUGUGGAACAUGAAAGAAAAGAAGCCCCCUCAUCUUGCAGCUUUUUACAUAGCGCUGAGAAAGCCACUAGGCACUUACUGUAGGUAAAAAUGAGGUAUUGUACUGAGAUGGUUUUGCAGCAAUAUAAUUUUAUAUGGAAUAAAAGAAAAUCAUGCUUAAGCAAUGAAUAUUGCCUAUAAUUUCCAUUUUGUUUUUAUUUUUGUCCCAGUUUAUCUCCUGAGAGCCUUGUAUGUCACUUUUAGACUUAUCAGAAUUGACAAGAUGACUUAAGAAAUUUCCUGACCCCUGGUCUUGUCCACUGUUAUGAAACCAAUGAAAUGCUUCUAGAUUUUCAUUUUACACACAGAGGUCAGCAAAUUUCACUUAACAGACGACCCUUUUAAAAAACUAACUUCCAGGUUCAGUCUAAUAAAUUAGUGCCCCCUUCAGAUUUAAAAACUGUUCUCUUUUGACAUUAAUUCAAGAAGUUCUUUAAGAAUCUUUUGGUAUCAAAAUUGGAAUCCAUUACAUCCUGUGACAAGAUAUGCAUCAAUUGCCCUUCAUUUCUCUGGCAAGUUUUUCCUAUAUAUAAUUUAUGAAUUUAUGUGAAAUCCCCAUACAUUUUGUACUUCAAGAAGUAUCUCUAGCAACUUUGUUUUUAGAUCCACAGAGGGUCUUUUAGACAUUCAACUGAACUCUGGAUUAUUUCUUGCUAGGUAGAGAAUUCUCCUUCAUUGUUUCCAAAUUUCUUUCCAGUGCUUUGCUCAUAUUCAAUUUGACACUAAAUCUUCAGCAUCAAGGCAGAUAUUUCAAACUUUAUUUGGCUUCAACCUGUAUGCAAUCUGAUUCAGACUGACUGAUGACAUCUUAUAUUUCUUGGGGACUACCAAUGUUUUUCCUAUUAUUCAAUCUAUCAAUUACUCCAUAUGAUUUUGUAAUAAAGGCAGACAGAUUUCCACAGACUGCUCUCUCACUGAACUUUAAAUAAAGCAGCAAGUGUUGUAUACUAUUUCUACUUUCAAAAUUGCAUCUAAAAAUUCACAAAAAAACAACACCUAAAUAAAUCCAAGCUAAGUUGUCAGUUUGUUUAUUCUGAGUCAUUGAUCCCUGACAGACUUCAGAUUGUCAGUAUCAGAUGUUACUAUUAAGCAUGAUCAAAAUUGCCCUUGCCCAUUUUGACAACCUCUCAGUUAUCUUCUGCAUCUUUAUUGCUUCCUAUGAACAUUUUCACUAACAUACUGAUUUGAUUAGAUGGCACAUCAAAGCCAAGAUUUUAUGGAGAUUAAUGAUUAAAGAUGCAAUCUGUAAUUAAACCUGUAAUUUUAGAAUGUGUUCAUGGAAAAGACAGAGAACUGAGAUGGAGGUUUUGCAAGGAGUCUUCACAGGAUAUACACCUAUAUUAAAGCCAGGAUUGGGAACAAGGAGAAGCUUAAUUUUAAUGUGGUUGCACCUGAGACCUCAGUAGAGUCCACAGGUUGGUGAAGUUUGCUCUGAAAAGCUUAAACUAGCCUUUUGGAGUUCUCUUAAAUUGAAGGGAAGACUCAGGCAAUUGUGUCAACACACAAAGUAAUCACUGGCUGUCAAGCCCUCCACCAGAAAGAAUGUAAUAUUGGGUUAAGCAGUUUCUUGAUGCUGAUAGCAAUUCCUGCUGAGUGAAGCACCUGGUAUAGUAGCUGGGAGAUGAGUGUUUCACAUUGAAGUAGGAAUGCGGACAGUGCACCAGUUGCUUCUUAAGGUAAUUUCUCCCAUCUGGGAACAACUACUCUCAUGUUUGCUUGUUCUUACUUCAUGGGUUAGUGUUAAAUAUUAUAGUCCCCAUCACUAACAUUGGUCUUUGAGAUAGCUAUUACUCGUCAAUUAGCUCCUCUUCUAUCUUAUUUAGAGUCCCCUCACACUCAGCUAGUAACUCACCUGGUUUAAAUGGCUUUCUUGGUGUGUGUACCAAGAUUCUUAUCCCUAGGGGAAUAGGGGCCAUAUGUUACCAUCCCUUUCUCAGGCUAUGGCUGCUGUACUUAUUUAUUUAUCCUUAAAUCUAAGCACAGAAGCACCAAGAGGUAACCCAUUAUCACUGGUGUGCCAAACAUAUUCUUACCUACCAAACUCCUUAGGAUAAAGGACAAGUACCCUUUGCCAGCAUGGCAACUCCUUUUCUUGCCUCUUGGUCAUUGGUACAUAUUACUGAGUAGUAAGAGCUUAAAUUUUGGUGGGUCUUUACCAAAGUGUCUGAUGGAAGUGACCACCAUCUGGAAACAGGUUACUUAGAUGGAAAAAGCAUAAAAUCUUAUAGGGUUGGAAAACAUACCUUAAGCAGAACAAUGAGCGUGAGGUUAAGUGGGGCCACCCCUACUUGCACAUGUUGGUUCCCAGACCCAUGCAUUCUGCCUACUGAGGACACAACACUUAAUUUAUGGUAAUUACCACACCAUGGAGGAUGGUGCCCCAUAUUUUUAGAUUAUAACCCCUAAAUCUAUGCCUGAGCUAUGUUUUUAAGAGGCUAUCUCAGUGUCCUUUCAGGCUGGAAGUUUGCAUGUGGCUGUGGAGUGUUAAGCUUCACUAUAGUCCUAUAACAAUUUGUCACUUCCAGAUCUCCUUAGAAUCCUGAGACGAACUGUGAAGGAUCCUCUGUCCUUUUUAUCAGAUACUCUGUUAGCCCUUGGAUGUUGUGGUGGCCAAGGUCCUGAGAGAAGAGAAGGGAAACCUAUACCCUUUAUCCGGUCAGUCCUGGUCAAGAUGAAUCUCUGCCCCUUUCAGAGUAGAAAGUGCUCAAUCUAGCCAAUUCGUCUCCUGAAAAAUUGUGCCAUAUUGGAAAGCUUAUUCUCUGUUUCUGGCAGUUUGAGGCAUUUACCUGUAGCAGUAACUACAUUAGUGUUGGUGAGUUGAAGCCUAUGCUAUUAAGGCCAUGCAUAGCCUUCUUCUCUGCCUCCACUGACACUCAUGAGCCCAUGCUGCCAGCAAUCAGGUGGCCUGUCUUCUCCGUUCAGAUAUUUUAUGAUUCUUCUGUAGUGGAUGCUUUCUAGUGUGAGUUAACAUGAGAUACAAAGAUCUUCCCGUAUUGAACAUACCCUAUUUAUCCAUUCAUAUGCUUAUUCACCUUGAUUUUUCAACAUUACUUGACCUUGGUUUUUCAACAUUUCUCUUUCAAGGUCCCUAACCAACGAAGCUAUAUGCCACUGACCAUGAGAUUGUGGACAUUGUUAUUUUGGACCAUUUCUUUAUCCACACAAAGGGGCUGACCAGAUGAAAUGCUAGGAACUCUGCCAAAUGGGAGGAUUUUCCCCUCAUUUCUCUUUCAGAGACACAACUGAGUAAAGUUCAGUAUAGUAUCAUUCAAGUUUUGAUUCAAGCUAACAUACUUAGCCAAUCUGUCCAGAAACCAAGUCUGGACUUUUCCCUUCUCUGUCAACUGGUUAUGAAGCUACUAUAGAGGUCACAGAAGUGAGCUGAUGCAGAAGCACUCACGCAACUUUAGUAUAAGAAAUGGGAUUGUGUCUUGGCUAUUGUGAAUAGCACUUGCAAUGAACAUAGGUGGGCAUGUAUUUUUUCGAAUGAAAGAUUUGUCAAGAUAUAUGCCCACAUGGAAACAGCCUAAAUGUCCAUCAACAGAUGAAUGGAUUAAGAAGAUGUGGUAUACAUACACAAUGGCAUACUACUCAGCCACAAAAAGAACAAAAUAAUGUCAUUUGCAGCAACAUGGAUCGAGCUAGAGAUUCUCAUAUUAAGUGAAGUAAGUCAGAAAGAGAAAGACAAAUGCCAUACGAUAUCUCUCACAUGUAUAAUCUAAUUGGCACAAAUGAACCUAUCUAUAGAAAAGAAACAAAGUCAUGGACUUGGAUAACAGACUCAUGGUUGCCAAGGGGGAGGGAGAGGGAGUUGGAUGGACUGGGAGUUUGAGUGGAUAAGCAAUGAGAUCUUACUGUAUAGCACAGGGAUCUACACCCAACACUUGUGAUGAAACACAAUGGAGGAUAAUGUGAGAAAAAGAAUGUAUAUGUAUGUAUAACUGGAUCACUUUGCUAUACAGCAGAAAUUGACAGAACACUGUAAAUCAACUAUAAUAAUUUUUUAAAAAAAACAAAACAAAAAGAAAAGAAAUGGGAUCAGACCAUCUGCUUGCAUAUUUUCUUAAGAAUUCUGACUCUGCUCAUGUCUAAAUCUCAAACAUGCCACUUCCAAUUCAAGAUAGAACACUUCUGAGUUCUCCUAAUCUUAUGAUUUGGAGGGUCUCACAGAACUGAUUCAUGUUGGGCAGUUGAUGUUUCAUGGUUAGAUGCUCCAUCUUGAGAAGCAUCCAGCAGUACAUCAGAAAAGUUGUCUUUUUUCUACAGAAAACCAAUAAUCUACUAUUCUGAUUCUGCUAUUGGAAUUUUCUGUAAAUUCUACAUAAUACUUUUGCAUAUCACAGAAGCUAUAAAUAUAAGAUCUGCCAGGCUGCAUGCCCAGUUGGUAGAAAUAUAGGUAUCACAGCCUAAACUUGUUGCACAGUCCUUUCGGUCUGGGCUCUGCUCAAAGUUAGCAACCUUCUGUGCCACCCAGUAAAUGGCUCAGAACAAUAUUCUUUUGUGCAAAAUAGGGAGUACAGCCAAAGCACCACAGAGUUUGUUUAGCUAGCUUACCCAACACAAUGAUGCCAAUAUGACCCCAGAUUCUUUUUUUAAUUCCCUAUGUUUUCAGUGCUGUACUAUAGAAUUUCUCUUCAAAAUCAAAAGCAUUUGUGACAAAGAAAAGGAAACAACUGGUUACAUUUAGAUUCAAUUGUGGAAUGAUCAGAUGAGGGACUUCCAUAAAUGACUAAUAUAAUAAAUUAAUGGGAUAGUCAACUCAACAAAAUAAAUUAAUCAUUUAUGGUGGCAAUGAUAGGGAAACAUCCUGGAUCACUGAAACAAUGAACACUAAAUCUGCAAGGCCAAGGUAUUACAGCUGAAGUGCUAGGAAGGGAAUAUACAAUUAUGGAGCAAAUAUCUAGUUUCCAUUCUAUCACCCGCCACCUCUCCUUCUUUGUUUUCCUUUUUUUGACAAAUUAAACUACUGAAGACUCUUGCAUUACCAAGGGAGUUAUUUUGGCUGGUAACAGAGGUCAUUUUUUCUAGGAAUCUACUAAAAAUUUCCAGAAAGAAAAUUGCCUAAUUAAACUACUGUUAAUACUGACCUUGUGCCACAUUUAUAUUUAUUUAUAUUCUCUAGGCAAAAAUAAAAGCAAAUAAAUUAAAGUAAAACAGAUCACUCAUAUGCUUGGAGAUAAAUGGUAUGAUUGAUGAACUGAAAUUACUCAUCAAGUUAUGGAACUAUGAGAGCAGAAGAUGUCUUGGAAAGUGAUCACUGGCAUAGGUGGAAUGUGAGAGGAAGAGGUAGGCAAGGGCUAAAUAGGAAAGGACUUUGAUGCAUUUCUGAAAAGAAAAGAGUUUUCUCAUUUGGGACAAAUGACUAAUAAAUUUUAUUAUUUUUCUUUUUCUGAACCCUGAAAGACUGCUAAUGAUUUUUAAAAAUUGAGUUGAAAUUUAGAUGCAUUAAAAUUUACCAUGUAGUGUAUAGUUCUCUGACUUUUGAUAAAUGUAUACAAUCAUAUAUCUGCCACUAAAAUCAAAAUGCAGAGCAUUUUCAUCACCACCAAUAUUUCCUCCAUGCCCAUUAGUAGUUAACCCCUCCUUUGAUUCACAGCCCAUAGUAAUGACUGAUCUCUUUUGCAUCCCUAUAGGUUUGCCUUUUCCAGAAUAAUACAUAAAUGGAAACACACAAGGAUUUAUUCAUGUUAUUGUUUUGUUCAGCAAAUCACUGUUGAUAGUUGAGAAUAAUUUCACUGUAUGGAAGUACCACAAUUUGUUUAUCCAUUUUCCAGUUGAAAAACAUUUGAAUUAUUUCUAGUUUUCAGUGACUGUGAAUAAAGUGUCCAUAAACAUGCACGUGCAGACUCCUGUGUGGACAUGUUUUAUUUCACUUGGAUAAAUACCUAGGCUGAGAAGUACUGUAUGGUAAGUGUAUAUUUAAUUUUUUAAGGAACUUCCAAACUCUUUCCCAAAGUUGAAUUUUUGAUUCCCUUCAAAAAAUGUAGGAAGUUCCAUUGUUCCUCAUCUUUACCAGUACCUGACAGUUUUCUUUCUUUCUUUUCAUAUUCUCAGCCAUUCAAAUAGGUGAGUGGUUUGUUAAUACUGGUCAUAUUUCUGUGUGUUUAUUUGUUAUCUGUAUAUCUUCAUUCCUAAUGUGUUAGUUUAAAUCUUUUAUUCAUUAUUUAAAAUUGUGUCUUGUUAUUAUGAUUAUUAUCAUUGAGAUUUAAGAGGUCUUUAAAUACACUGGAUACAAAUCCAUUGUGAGACCCGUGAUGUGUUAAUAUUUUCUCCCAAUUUGUGUCUUGUCUGUUCAUUUUCUUACCAGUGUUUUGCAGAGAAUGGGAGUCCUCCAUGUC